This 599-nucleotide ribosomal RNA is filed under the name uncultured bacterium. Its description in RNAcentral is "bacterial SSU rRNA". It matches the Rfam family "Bacterial small subunit ribosomal RNA", at positions 331 to 922 of the family's 1533-position model. The record is from RNAcentral.
CCAGACUCCUACGGGAGGCAGCAGUAGGGAAUCUUCGGCAAUGGACGAAAGUCUGACCGAGCAACGCCGCGUGAGUGAAGAAGGUUUUCGGAUCGUAAGACUCUGUUGGUAGAGAAGAACGUUGGUGAGAGUGGAAAGCUCAUCAAGUGACGGUAACUACCCAGAAAGGGACGGCUAACUACGUGCCAGCAGCCGCGGUAAUACGUAGGUCCCGAGCGUUGUCCGGAUUUAUUGGGCGUAAAGCGAGCGCAGGUGGUUUAUUAAGUCUGGUGUAAAAGGCAGUGGCUCAACCAUUGUAUGCAUUGGAAACUGGUAGACUUGAGUGCAGGAGAGGAGAGUGGAAUUCCAUGUGUAGCGGUGAAGUGCGUAGAUAUAUGGAGGAACACCGGUGGCGAAAGCGGCUCUCUGGCCUGUAACUGACACUGAGGCUCGAAAGCGUGGGGAGCAAACAGGAUUAGAUACCCUGGUGGUCCACGCCGUAAACGAUGAGUGCUAGAUGUAGGGAGCUAUAAGUUCUCUGUAUCGCAGCUAACGCAAUAAGCACUCCGCCUGGGGAGUACGACCGCAAGGUUGAAACUCAAAGGAAUUGACGGGGGCCC